This is a long non-coding RNA of Microtus oregoni (creeping vole), 698 nucleotides long. RefSeq lists it as uncharacterized. The transcript is spliced from 3 exons. The record is from RefSeq and is a predicted model, not a curated record. Lineage: Eukaryota; Metazoa; Chordata; Mammalia; Rodentia; Cricetidae.
UGACCCCAGGGAGCACCCCACGGUGGGGAGGUGCCUGGAGGCGGCUGCUGCCUACUGUCCCUUCGUUGGGAGAGCGGUCUCCAUAGAGACCGCAGGUCCCUGAGCUGGACAGUGCGGGCCGCGACGACCUAUGCACCACUGCUGGCGAGAAAAUCGCUGCCGUCUCCCCGGAGAUUCGGGCUGCAGCAGAGGCAGCUAAGGAAGAUGCCUUUUCUCUAAAGUCUUCCUUGCCUGGGAGACACCAGCUGGGCCUGCACUCCCUGCCUGCAGCGCCAAGGCCUCUCUAGCCUCUGGAGGACCGCUCCUCUUGAUGGUCUUAACCCUUGCUGUCUGAGAGCCAAGCCGCAUUUCCAGGGUUCAGCAAAGGAAGUGGUACUCUGGCCGCCAGACUGCUGCACCUGUUUCUCAGAGGAAACCUCCGGGAGACAGCCAGAGAGACCCGGAGGGAGACAGCCAGAGAGACCCAGAGAGUGAAACAGUGAAGGCUUCGUGAGAGGCCUGGUGAGAUAGGAUCUAUCCUGAUAGGCACAGACAGCAGAGAACUCCGGUGAGUCAGGACCUGGACAACUCACCUGUCUGUGCAGUGUUCCUUGCUGGAAUCCAGGCUCUCCCCUGCUGCCCUUUCACGUGGUUCCUGCACUGGGUUCUUGCCCUGACUUCCCUCACUGGGAAACUGUGAUAUGGCAGUGUAAACUGAA